UACGGAGGAUGCAAGCGUUAUCCGGAUUCAUUGGGUUUAAAAGGGUGCGCAGGCGGGGGAAUAAGUCAGUGGUGAAAAGCUGCCGCUCAACGGUAGUCUUGCCAAUGAUACUGUUUCUCUUGAGUAUGGGUUAAGGUAGGUGGAAUGUGCAGUGUAGCGGUGAAAUGCAUAGAGAUUGCACAGAAGGCCGAUUGCGAAGGCAGCUUACUGAACCAUAACUGACGCUCAUGCACGAAAGCGUGGGGAUCAAACA
RNAcentral lists this ribosomal RNA (253 nucleotides) under uncultured prokaryote. Its description in RNAcentral is "partial 16S ribosomal RNA". It matches the Rfam family "Bacterial small subunit ribosomal RNA", at positions 524 to 774 of the family's 1533-position model. The record is from RNAcentral.